GUGCAGCAGGCGCGAAUUUUGGGCAAUGGCCGAAAGGCUGACCCAGCGACGCUGCGUGUGGGAUGAAGCCCUUCGGGGCGUAAACCACUUUUCAGAAGGACGAGGGUUCAUCCGGCGAAUACCCGGACGGAUUGACGGUACUUCUGGAAUAAGCUCUGGCUAACCCCGUGCCAGCAGCCGCGGUAAGACGGGGAGAGCAAGCGUUGCCCGGAAUCAUUGGGCUUAAAGGGGGCGUAGGCGGUUAGGUGUGUCAGACGUGUAAACUAUCGGCUCAACCGAUAGCCUGCGUUUGAAACUACCUAGCUCGAGGGCGAAAGAGGAGAGCGGAACUCCC
Molecule: ribosomal RNA, 334 nt
Filed under: uncultured microorganism
Description: bacterial SSU rRNA
Rfam family: Bacterial small subunit ribosomal RNA
Source: RNAcentral